CCUACGGGUGGCAGCAGUGGGGAAUAUUGGGCAAUGGGCGCAAGCCUGACCCAGCAACGCCGCGUGAAGGAAGAAGGCCCUACGGGUCGUAAACCUCUUUUGCCGGGGAGCAAGGGCGGGGACGUGUCCCGGCCCGGAGAGUACCCGGAGAAAAAGCAUCGGCUAACUCCGUGCCAGCAGCCGCGGUAAUACGGAGGAUGCGAGCGUUAGCCGGAUUUAUUGGGUGUAAAGGGUGCGUAGACGGAGAAGCAAGUUAGUUGUGAAAUCCCUCGGCUUAACUGAGGAACUGCAACUAAAACUACUUCCCUUGAGUACUGGAGAGGAAAGUGGAAUUCCUAGUGUAGCGGUGAAAUGCGUAGAUAUUAGGAGGAACACCAGUGGCGAAGGCGACUUUCUGGACAGUAACUGACGUUGAGGCACGAAAGUGUGGGGAGCAAACAGGAUUAGAUACCCCUGUAGUC
Molecule: ribosomal RNA, 461 nt
Filed under: uncultured bacterium
Lineage: Bacteria
Description: partial 16S ribosomal RNA
Rfam family: Bacterial small subunit ribosomal RNA
Source: RNAcentral